This 253-nucleotide ribosomal RNA is filed under the name uncultured Lachnospiraceae bacterium. RNAcentral describes it as "partial 16S ribosomal RNA". It matches the Rfam family "Bacterial small subunit ribosomal RNA", at positions 524 to 776 of the family's 1533-position model. Lineage: Bacteria; Bacillati; Bacillota; Clostridia; Lachnospirales; Lachnospiraceae. The record is from RNAcentral.
UACGUAGGGGGCAAGCGUUAUCCGGAUUUACUGGGUGUAAAGGGAGCGUAGACGGCAGAGCAAGUCCGGAGUGAAAGCCCGGGGCCCAACCCCGGGACUGCUCUGGAAACUGUUAAGCUGGAGUGCCGGAGAGGUAAGUGGAAUUCCUAGUGUAGCGGUGAAAUGCGUAGAUAUUAGGAGGAACACCAGAGGCGAAGGCGGCUAACUGGACUGUAACUGACGCUGAGGCACGAAAGCGUGGGUAUCGAACAGG